AAUCAACGCUGGCGGCGUGCCUCAGACAUGCAAGUCGAACGAUUAAAGCUCUCUUCGGAGAGUGCAUAGAGUGGCGCACGGGUGAGUAACACGUAAGUAAUCUACCUUCGAGUGGGGAGUAACGUCCGGAACGGACGCUAUACCGCAUAAUGCAGCGGCAUCGCAAGAUGACAGUUGUUAAAGGAGCAAUUCGCUUGAAGAGGAGCUUGCGGCAGAUUAGCUUGUUGGUAAGGUAACGGCUUACCAAGGCUACGAUCUGUAACCGGUCUAAGAGGACGGUCGGUCACACUGACACUGAAUAACGGGU
This 307-nucleotide ribosomal RNA is filed under the name uncultured bacterium. Its description in RNAcentral is "bacterial SSU rRNA". It matches the Rfam family "Bacterial small subunit ribosomal RNA", at positions 32 to 331 of the family's 1533-position model. The record is from RNAcentral.